RNAcentral lists this ribosomal RNA (468 nucleotides) under uncultured bacterium. RNAcentral's name for it is "partial 16S ribosomal RNA". It matches the Rfam family "Bacterial small subunit ribosomal RNA", at positions 28 to 507 of the family's 1533-position model. The record is from RNAcentral.
GACGAACGCUGGCGGCGUGCUUAACACAUGCAAGUCGAACGGAAAGGCCCUGCUUUUGUGGGGUGCUCGAGUGGCGAACGGGUGAGUAACACGUGAGUAACCUGCCCUUGACUUUGGGAUAACUUCAGGAAACUGGGGCUAAUACCGGAUAGGAGCUCCUGCUGCAUGGUGGGGGUUGGAAAGUUUCGGCGGUUGGGGAUGGAUUCGCGGCUUAUCAGCUUGUUGGUGGGGUAGUGGCUUACCAAGGCUUUGACGGGUAGCCGGCCUGGGAGGGUGACCGGCCACAUUGGGACUGAGAUACGGCCCAGUAUCCUACGGGAGGAAGCAGUGGGGAAUAUUGCACAAGGGGCGGAAGCCUGAUGCAGCAACGCCGCGUGCGGGAUGACGGCCUUCGGGUUGUAAACCGCUUUCGCCUGUGACGAAGCGUGAGUGACGGUAAUGGGUAAAGAAGCACCGGCUAACUACGUG